CCGCUCUCUUCUCAAGCAUCUCUGGGACGGCAGGAGGAGAGAGAAGGAAGAAGAUGAACUGGGUGAGCCGAAAGGUGCAUCUGUACAACGUGACCAUGGGUCUGUACAUGCUCGACUGGUGGGAGCGCUGCCUCUUCAAUAUAUUGAUCCUUACUUUGCUGUGGUUCAUCUGCCACAACGGAUCUCGAUUUGCCACGGACUUGUACGAUGGCCAUCUCAAGUCUAAACUUGUGUUUAGCAGCAGCUUCCCAACAGGAGGGAGCACAAGAAUGUAACAGCCUAGCUGGAAAAAAUGGAUCAUCUUUCUUCUUUGUUUCCAAGAAAACAAUGAUUGUGUAUUUCAGUUAUAAAAUGAAUGUAGAAAGUAUUUUAAGAAUA
Musa acuminata AAA Group (dessert banana) is the source of this 378-nucleotide long non-coding RNA. RefSeq lists it as uncharacterized. The record is from RefSeq and is a predicted model, not a curated record. The transcript has 3 exons. NCBI's taxonomy places the organism in Eukaryota, Viridiplantae, Streptophyta, Magnoliopsida, Zingiberales, Musaceae.